Molecule: ribosomal RNA, 573 nt
Filed under: uncultured bacterium
Lineage: Bacteria
Description: bacterial SSU rRNA
Rfam family: Bacterial small subunit ribosomal RNA
Source: RNAcentral
GACGAACGCUGGCGGCGUGCUUAACACAUGCAAGUCGAACGAAGAGCGAUGGAAGCUUGCUUCUAUCAAUCUUAGUGGCGAACGGGUGAGUAACGCGUAAUCAACCUGCCCUUCAGAGGGGGACAACAGUUGGAAACGACUGCUAAUACCGCAUACGAUCUAAUCUCGGCAUCGAGAAUGGAUGAAAGGUGGCCUCUAUGUAUAAGCUAUCACUGAAGGAGGGGAUUGCGUCUGAUUAGCUAGUUGGAGGGGUAACGGCCCACCAAGGCGAUGAUCAGUAGCCGGUCUGAGAGGAUGAACGGCCACAUUGGGACUGAGACACGGCCCAGACUCCUACGGGAGGCAGCAGUGGGGAAUCUUCCGCAAUGGACGAAAGUCUGACGGAGCAACGCCGCGUGAGUGAUGACGGCCUUCGGGUUGUAAAGCUCUGUUAAUCGGGACGAAAGGCCUUCUUGCGAAUAGUUAGAGGAAUUGACGGUACCGGAAUAGAAAGCCACGGCUAACUACGUGCCAGCAGCCGCGGUAAUACGUAGGUGGCAAGCGUUGUCCGGAAUUAUUGGGCGUAAAGCGCGC